Molecule: ribosomal RNA, 924 nt
Filed under: uncultured bacterium
Lineage: Bacteria
Description: bacterial SSU rRNA
Rfam family: Bacterial small subunit ribosomal RNA
Source: RNAcentral
AGAGUUUGAUCCUGGCUCAGGAUGAACGCUGGCGGCGUGCCUAAUACAUGCAAGUCGAGCGAACAGACGAGGAGCUUGCUCCUCUGACGUUAGCGGCGGACGGGUGAGUAACACGUGGAUAACCUACCUAUAAGACUGGGAUAACUUCGGGAAACCGGAGCUAAUACCGGAUAAUAUAUUGAACCGCAUGGUUCAAUAGUGAAAGACGGUUUUGCUGUCACUUAUAGAUGGAUCCGCGCCGCAUUAGCUAGUUGGUAAGGUAACGGCUUACCAAGGCAACGAUGCGUAGCCGACCUGAGAGGGUGAUCGGCCACACUGGAACUGAGACACGGUCCAGACUCCUACGGGAGGCAGCAGUAGGGAAUCUUCCGCAAUGGGCGAAAGCUUGACGGAGCAACGCCGCGUGAGUGAUGAAGGUCUUCGGAUCGUAAAACUCUGUUAUUAGGGAAGAACAAAUGUGUAAGUAACUAUGCACGUCUUGACGGUACCUAAUCAGAAAGCCACGGCUAACUACGUGCCAGCAGCCGCGGUAAUACGUAGGUGGCAAGCGUUAUCCGGAAUUAUUGGGCGUAAAGCGCGCGUAGGCGGUUUUUUAAGUCUGAUGUGAAAGCCCACGGCUCAACCGUGGAGGGUCAUUGGAAACUGGAAAACUUGAGUGCAGAAGAGGAAAGUGGAAUUCCAUGUGUAGCGGUGAAAUGCGCAGAGAUAUGGAGGAACACCAGUGGCGAAGGCGACUUUCUGGUCUGUAACUGACGCUGAUGUGCGAAAGCGUGGGGAUCAAACAGGAUAGAUACCCUGGUAGUCCACGCCGUAAACGAUGAGUGCUAAGUGUUAGGGGGUUUCCGCCCCUUAGUGCUGCAGCUAACGCAUUAAGCACUCCGCCUGGGGAGUACGACCGCAAGUUGAAACUCAAGGAAUUGACGG